This is an unclassified non-coding RNA of Propithecus coquereli (Coquerel's sifaka), 322 nucleotides long. Its record names the gene 7SK. It matches the Rfam family "7SK RNA". Rfam says of the family: 7SK was discovered as an abundant small nuclear RNA in the mid-70s but a possible function has only recently been suggested. Two independent studies have found that 7SK RNA binds the CDK9/cyclin T complex (known as elongation factor P-TEFb). P-TEFb activates transcription by phosphorylating the C-terminal domain of RNA polymerase II. NCBI's taxonomy places the organism in Eukaryota, Metazoa, Chordata, Mammalia, Primates, Indriidae. The record is from Ensembl.
GGAUGUGAGGGUGAUCUGGCUGUGACAUCUGUCAUCCAUUGAUCUCCAGGGUUGAUUCAGCUGAUCUGGCUGGUUAGGCAGGUGUCCCCUUCCUCCCUCAUCGCUCCAUGUGUGUCCCUCCCUCCCGAAGCUGCACACUCGGUCAAAGAGGUUGACCUUCCAGGAGGACAACCUUUCCCCAUAGAAGAGGACCGUUCUUGGUCAGUGGUACACAAGUAGCUGCGCUCCCCUGAUAGAACCUCCAAACAAGCUCUCAAGGUGGGAGCAGAGACAGGAAAACUAUCAAAGGAUGUUGCCAUAGCCCUGAGGCAGCUGGCAAUAG